This 132-nucleotide small RNA is filed under the name Escherichia coli. RNAcentral's name for it is "RtT sRNA". It matches the Rfam family "RtT RNA". From Rfam's summary of the family: This family represents a bacterial cis-regulatory element known as RtT RNA. The exact function of RtT is unknown although it is thought that it may be involved in changing the cellular response in relation to amino acid starvation. Lineage: Bacteria; Pseudomonadati; Pseudomonadota; Gammaproteobacteria; Enterobacterales; Enterobacteriaceae. The record is from RNAcentral. RNAcentral also lists the same sequence under 1 other name.
GUUUGCACUCAUCGGGGAAGGGUGAGAACUUUCGACUAAGGUUCGAUUCGAGCGAAAGCGAGAGAACGUUGCCACAGGCAACGGCCCGAAGGGUGAGGAGCGAAGCGACGAAUAAUCCUUCCCCCACCACCA